GACGAACGCUGGCGGCGUGCUUAACACAUGCCAGUCGAACGGAAAGGCCCUGCUUUUGUGGGGUGCUCGAGUGGCGAACGGGUGAGUAACACGUGAGUAACCUGCCCUUGACUUUGGGAUAACUUCAGGAAACUGGGGCUAAUACCGGAUAGGAGCUCCUGCUGCAUGGUGGGGGUUGGAAAGUUUCGGCGGUUGGGGAUGGACUCGCGGCUUAUCAGCUUGUUGGUGGGGUAGUGGCUUACCAAGGCUUUGACGGGUAGCCGGCCUGAGAGGGUGACCGGCCACAUUGGGACUGAGAUACGGCCCAGACUCCUACGGGAGGCAGCAGUGGGGAAUAUUGCACAAUGGGCGGAAGCCUGAUGCAGCAACGCCGCGUGCGGGAUGACGGCCUUCGGGUUGUAAACCGCUUUCGCCUGUGACGAAGCGUGAGUGACGGUAAUGGAUAAAGAAGCACCGGCUAACUACGUG
RNAcentral lists this ribosomal RNA (468 nucleotides) under uncultured bacterium. Its description in RNAcentral is "partial 16S ribosomal RNA". It matches the Rfam family "Bacterial small subunit ribosomal RNA", at positions 28 to 507 of the family's 1533-position model. The record is from RNAcentral.